GACAACGUAGCUCAAUGGCUAGAGCGCAGGGCGAUGCCCUUGGGAUGCUGGUUCGAUUCCAGCCGUUGUCA
Molecule: transfer RNA, 71 nt
Organism: Phytophthora nicotianae (black shank of tobacco agent)
Lineage: Eukaryota; Oomycota; Peronosporomycetes; Peronosporales; Peronosporaceae
Rfam family: tRNA
About the family: Transfer RNA (tRNA) molecules are approximately 80 nucleotides in length. Their secondary structure includes four short double-helical elements and three loops (D, anti-codon, and T loops).
Source: Rfam